UUUAGGUCAAGCAUUGGAAUACGAUUUUUUCGGGGAGAGAACACCCAAAUAGAGACAAAUCCACCAACUACAUGCCGCAGUGAAAGGUCAUGUCACCUACCUUCAUCAGUGCUGGAAAACAGUAAGGGAAAGACCCUCAGACAUGUCAUAACAGGAUAAAGGCUGCAGACUCACCAAGGAUCCAGAUGAUUACUGGCAAUUUGGUGGAGGAUUUUUCUUUAGCUGCUAUCACUUCAGGUAUGCAUUCAUCAACCUUUUAUGAUAUGAUUUUACUCAAUUUAAUAAAAAUGUACACUACCGUUCAAA
Long non-coding RNA from Pimephales promelas (fathead minnow), 306 nucleotides. RefSeq lists it as uncharacterized. The record is from RefSeq and is a predicted model, not a curated record. NCBI's taxonomy places the organism in Eukaryota, Metazoa, Chordata, Actinopteri, Cypriniformes, Leuciscidae.